Molecule: ribosomal RNA, 1554 nt
Filed under: Salmonella enterica subsp. enterica serovar Montevideo str. USDA-ARS-USMARC-1901
Lineage: Bacteria; Pseudomonadati; Pseudomonadota; Gammaproteobacteria; Enterobacterales; Enterobacteriaceae
Also listed under: 7 other names
Description: bacterial SSU rRNA
Rfam family: Bacterial small subunit ribosomal RNA
Source: RNAcentral
UUAAAUUGAAGAGUUUGAUCAUGGCUCAGAUUGAACGCUGGCGGCAGGCCUAACACAUGCAAGUCGAACGGUAACAGGAAGCAGCUUGCUGCUUUGCUGACGAGUGGCGGACGGGUGAGUAAUGUCUGGGAAACUGCCUGAUGGAGGGGGAUAACUACUGGAAACGGUGGCUAAUACCGCAUAACGUCGCAAGACCAAAGAGGGGGACCUUCGGGCCUCUUGCCAUCAGAUGUGCCCAGAUGGGAUUAGCUUGUUGGUGAGGUAACGGCUCACCAAGGCGACGAUCCCUAGCUGGUCUGAGAGGAUGACCAGCCACACUGGAACUGAGACACGGUCCAGACUCCUACGGGAGGCAGCAGUGGGGAAUAUUGCACAAUGGGCGCAAGCCUGAUGCAGCCAUGCCGCGUGUAUGAAGAAGGCCUUCGGGUUGUAAAGUACUUUCAGCGGGGAGGAAGGUGUUGUGGUUAAUAACCGCAGCAAUUGACGUUACCCGCAGAAGAAGCACCGGCUAACUCCGUGCCAGCAGCCGCGGUAAUACGGAGGGUGCAAGCGUUAAUCGGAAUUACUGGGCGUAAAGCGCACGCAGGCGGUCUGUCAAGUCGGAUGUGAAAUCCCCGGGCUCAACCUGGGAACUGCAUUCGAAACUGGCAGGCUUGAGUCUUGUAGAGGGGGGUAGAAUUCCAGGUGUAGCGGUGAAAUGCGUAGAGAUCUGGAGGAAUACCGGUGGCGAAGGCGGCCCCCUGGACAAAGACUGACGCUCAGGUGCGAAAGCGUGGGGAGCAAACAGGAUUAGAUACCCUGGUAGUCCACGCCGUAAACGAUGUCUACUUGGAGGUUGUGCCCUUGAGGCGUGGCUUCCGGAGCUAACGCGUUAAGUAGACCGCCUGGGGAGUACGGCCGCAAGGUUAAAACUCAAAUGAAUUGACGGGGGCCCGCACAAGCGGUGGAGCAUGUGGUUUAAUUCGAUGCAACGCGAAGAACCUUACCUGGUCUUGACAUCCACGGAACUUUCCAGAGAUGGAUUGGUGCCUUCGGGAACCGUGAGACAGGUGCUGCAUGGCUGUCGUCAGCUCGUGUUGUGAAAUGUUGGGUUAAGUCCCGCAACGAGCGCAACCCUUAUCCUUUGUUGCCAGCGGUCCGGCCGGGAACUCAAAGGAGACUGCCAGUGAUAAACUGGAGGAAGGUGGGGAUGACGUCAAGUCAUCAUGGCCCUUACGACCAGGGCUACACACGUGCUACAAUGGCGCAUACAAAGAGAAGCGACCUCGCGAGAGCAAGCGGACCUCAUAAAGUGCGUCGUAGUCCGGAUUGGAGUCUGCAACUCGACUCCAUGAAGUCGGAAUCGCUAGUAAUCGUGGAUCAGAAUGCCACGGUGAAUACGUUCCCGGGCCUUGUACACACCGCCCGUCACACCAUGGGAGUGGGUUGCAAAAGAAGUAGGUAGCUUAACCUUCGGGAGGGCGCUUACCACUUUGUGAUUCAUGACUGGGGUGAAGUCGUAACAAGGUAACCGUAGGGGAACCUGCGGUUGGAUCACCUCCUUACCUUAAAGAA